This 261-nucleotide ribosomal RNA is filed under the name uncultured Syntrophus sp. Its description in RNAcentral is "partial 16S ribosomal RNA". It matches the Rfam family "Bacterial small subunit ribosomal RNA", at positions 1118 to 1382 of the family's 1533-position model. Lineage: Bacteria; Pseudomonadati; Thermodesulfobacteriota; Syntrophia; Syntrophales; Syntrophaceae. The record is from RNAcentral.
CCAUCAUUGAGCUGGGCACUUUAAGAGACUGCCGGUGUUAAACCGGAGGAAGGUGGGAUGACGUCAAGUCCUCAUGGCCUUUAUGCCCAGGGCUACACACGUGCUACAAUGGGUGGUACAAAGAGCAGCCGGCUCGCGAGAGUGAGCAAAUCUCAAAAAGCCAUCCUCAGUUCGGAUUGAAGUCUGCAACUCGACUUCAUGAAGUCGGAAUCGCUAGUAAUCGCGGAUCAGCACGCCGCGGUGAAUACGUUCCCGGGCCUU